Molecule: ribosomal RNA, 258 nt
Filed under: uncultured bacterium
Lineage: Bacteria
Description: partial 16S ribosomal RNA
Rfam family: Bacterial small subunit ribosomal RNA
Source: RNAcentral
UCCUACGGGGCGCAGCAGUGGGGAAUAUUGCACAAUGGGGGAAACCCUGAUGCAGCGACGCCGCGUGAGCGAGGAAGUACCUCGGUAUGUAAAGCUCUAUCAGCAGGGAAGAUAAUGACGGCACCUGACUAAGAAGCCCCGGCUAACUACGUGCCAGCAGCCGCGGUAAUACGUAGGGGGCAAGCGUUAUCCGGAUUUACUGGGUGUAAAGGGAGCGUAGACGGCAUAGCAAGUCUGAAGUGAAAGCCCGGGGCUCAA